CAAAGUGCUCCCGGAUUCAAAGAUAUGGGGUUGGGAUCCAGUGACAAGGAAAGAUUCAGGUCCCGGUCCAAAGCGGCCAGGGCCAGGGGUCUGGCUCGGGUGGGCGCGGUGUAGGAAAAAAGAGAGAAUCGUCCCGGCUCCGAGCAGCAGCUUCAGCUUCAGAUAAAGAGACAAAAUAGGAGAGAGAGUGAGAGAAAGAAAAAAGGAGAGACACCACAGCACUACUCCACCAUUCAUGGAUCUUCCCCUAUGUGGUGCUGGGGGCUUGAAUCCAAGUUCUCUGAGAAGGUGAAGUGUGUGAUCUACUGGGUGAGAGCCUUGAUUUCACCAGUCCUGGAACCUCUAGGGUUGGGCACACUUUCCUGCAUGCUUCUCUCAAUUCAUACCAAAUGAUAUUGUAUCCACUGAUCACAACCUAAUCAACGCAACGAGUACCACCUCAGCAUGCUUCACUUCAGACUGUGUCCAGAGACGUCAGGAGUGGAAUGUCAACCCUUCAGCCUCAUU
Molecule: long non-coding RNA, 507 nt
Organism: Erinaceus europaeus (western European hedgehog)
Lineage: Eukaryota; Metazoa; Chordata; Mammalia; Eulipotyphla; Erinaceidae
Exons: 3
Source: RefSeq, a predicted model, not a curated record